AAGUCGUAACAAGGUUUCCGUAGGUGAACCUGCGGAAGGAUCAUUAACACGUAUCCAACGUUAAACCCCCCGUGAACCAUGUCAGUGACUCUUGGGGAGCCUAAUUUCAACAGCAAUCUGGUAAAUCAGUGGCGACAGUCGUUAUUUGAUUCAGACCUCUGUUGAAAGGGUAACCCCAAUCGAGUGCUUUGCUAGUGGUCUGGCUUUCUACCUGGCUUGAGGGAGCGUAAAACAGGUGGAAUAACGCAUUUGCGAUCGCUAGAGGUUCACACGAGCCGGCGGACAGAAAACAGGGACUAGAUCCCCCCUACGACGACCAAGUUGAACUGGAAUCCUCAUCACGCAUAGCAAGUGCGCCGCGGGUGAGCUCAAAACGUACAACUGUUAACAAUGGAUAUCUUGGUUCUC
This 408-nucleotide unclassified non-coding RNA is filed under the name fungal sp. Its description in RNAcentral is "partial internal transcribed spacer region". The stretch from base 1 to 46 matches the Rfam family "Eukaryotic small subunit ribosomal RNA", at positions 1786 to 1831 of the family's 1831-position model. Lineage: Eukaryota; Fungi. The record is from RNAcentral. RNAcentral also lists the same sequence under 1 other name.